Molecule: ribosomal RNA, 497 nt
Filed under: uncultured bacterium
Lineage: Bacteria
Description: partial 16S ribosomal RNA
Rfam family: Bacterial small subunit ribosomal RNA
Source: RNAcentral
GAUGAACGCUGGCGGCGUGCCUAAUACAUGCAAGUCGAGCGAACAGACGAGGUGCUUGCUCCUUCGACGUUAGCGUCGGACGGGUGAGUAACACGUAGGUAACCUACCUAUAAGACUGGGAUAACUUCGGGAAACCGGAGCUAAUACCGGAUAAUAUUUCGAACCGCAUGGUUCGAUAGUGAAAGAUGGCUUUGCUAUCACUUAUAGAUGGACCUGCGCCGUAUUAGCUAGUUGGUAAGGUAACGGCUUACCAAGGCAACGAUACGUAGCCGACCUGAGAGAGUGAGCGGCCACACUGGAACUGAGCCACGGUCCAGACUCCUACGGGAGGCAGCAGUAGGGAAUCUUCCGAAAUGGGCGAAAGCCUGACGGAGCAACGCCGCGUGAGUGAUGAAGGUCUUCGGAUCGUAAAACUCUGUUAUUAGGGAAGAACAAACGUGUAAGUAACUGUGCACGUCUUGACGGUACCUAAUCAGAAAGCCACGGCUAACUACGUG